ACAAUAUUUGAUGUGAAUGACAACAGAAAAAGAAUGUAUCUUUAGAGUCUAAAGAACAUUGAGUGGGUCUUGAACUCAAAGCAAUUAUUUUACAUUUCUGCCUCAAAGGUUGCCACUACUGACUGCAGAACGCAAUCAUUUAAGGGAGGCAUGGUGUAUCGUUCAUCAGAUAUCAGAUUUUGAUAAUAUGAUUUUAAGGAAGAAAAUUGAUUUCAGUUUUGCAGAUGUUUACGGAAAUGGAAGGCAAAUUUAAACAUUGUCAAAAUAUGGUGUCACAUUUCCCACCAGCGGUUACAUAGUUGGGUGGAAUGCGCAAAUGGGGUUUAACUUCACGUGUCUGUUAGAGCAGAAAUAUAUCUGCAAUAAAGUACUAUGACAUUUUCGAAAAACAUUGCUUAUUGUCGAAUAUUGUGACAAACGAUUUACAAUAAGUUUUACAAUAGGACAUUGUUUCCAUUUCCAAGACCGAACAUUGCAACCUUUAACCGUGACUGGUUUACACAGAAUCACGUGACCGUAAUGGAAUGGCCUUCUGCCUUACCGGAUUUAAAUCUGAUGGAAAAUGUUUGGCAGAUCAGAAAAUUGUGUUAAAAAAUCAGUCAGAAAAAAUCACAGACUUAAAAGCUACAACAAUGGAAACGUGUGUGUGGGGGGGGGGGGUGGAUGGAUCAAAACUAUUUAGAAAAUUUGCAUUGGAGCAUCACUCUAUCUCACGCGACGCAGAUGCUGCUAAAAUUGAGUCCUUCAAAAAACAAUACUAUGAAAGCUAAAGAUUUAUCACAUGAAAGCAAGGCGAUGUAGUUUUAGCUGCUUCGCUGCCAGGUGUCGGUUUCAUCAGGAACACCCCC
This is a long non-coding RNA of Magallana angulata, 848 nucleotides long. RefSeq lists it as uncharacterized. The record is from RefSeq and is a predicted model, not a curated record. Lineage: Eukaryota; Metazoa; Mollusca; Bivalvia; Ostreida; Ostreidae. The transcript has 3 exons.